Small nucleolar RNA from Gastrolobium bilobum, 77 nucleotides. NCBI's taxonomy places the organism in Eukaryota, Viridiplantae, Streptophyta, Magnoliopsida, Fabales, Fabaceae. The record is from RefSeq and is a predicted model, not a curated record.
AUGAGAUAUGAGGAUGAUUAUCCAUCAAUUCUGCAAUAGAAUGAUGAUUACAAACAUGCACUACCAUCUGAUCUCGU